GACGAACGCUGGCGGCGUGCCUAAUACAUGCAAGUAGAACGCUGAAGGAGGAGCUUGCUUCUCUGGAUGAGUUGCGAACGGGUGAGUAACGCGUAGGUAACCUGCCUGGUAGCGGGGGAUAACUAUUGGAAACGAUAGCUAAUACCGCAUAAUAGUAGAUGUUGCAUGACAUUUGCCUAAAAGGUGCAAUUGCAUCACUACCAGAUGGACCUGCGUUGUAUUAGCUAGUUGGUGGGGUAACGGCUCACCAAGGCGACGAUACAUAGCCGACCUGAGAGGGUGAUCGGCCACACUGGGACUGAGACACGGCCCAGACUCCUACGGGAGGCAGCAGUAGGGAAUCUUCGGCAAUGGACGGAAGUCUGACCGAGCAACACCGCGUGAGUGAAGAAGGUUUUCGGAUCGUAAAGCUCUGUUGUAAGAGAAGAACGAGUGUGAGAGUGGAAAGUUCACACUGUGACGGUAUCUUACCAGAAAGGGACGGCUAACUACGUG
Molecule: ribosomal RNA, 495 nt
Filed under: uncultured bacterium
Lineage: Bacteria
Description: partial 16S ribosomal RNA
Rfam family: Bacterial small subunit ribosomal RNA
Source: RNAcentral